CCCUUAGAUGUCCCGGGCCGCACGCGCGCUACACUGAUGCAUUCAACGAGUUUUACCUUGGCCGAGAGGCCUGGGCAAUCUUUUGAACCUGCAUCGUGAUAGGGAUAGAUUAUUGCAAUUAUUAAUCUUGAACGAGGAAUUCCUAGUAAACGCAGAUCAUCAAUCUGCAUUGAUUACGUCCCUGCCCUUUGUACACACCGCCCGUCGCACCUACCGAUUGAAUGGUCCGGUGAAGCCUCGGGAUUGUGGCGAGUUCCCUUUAUUGGGAGUUUGUCGCGAGAACUUGUCUAAACCUUAUCAUUUAGAGGAAGGUGAAGUCGUAACA
Molecule: ribosomal RNA, 325 nt
Filed under: uncultured eukaryote
Lineage: Eukaryota
Description: partial 18S ribosomal RNA
Rfam family: Eukaryotic small subunit ribosomal RNA
Source: RNAcentral